AGAGUUUGAUCCUGGCUCAGAUUGAACGCUGGCGGAAUGCUUUACACAUGCAAGUCGAACGGCAGCACGGGAGCUUGCUCCUGGUGGCGAGUGGCGAACGGGUGAGUAAUAUAUCGGAACGUACCUUUUAAUGGGGGAUAACUAGUCGAAAGAUUAGCUAAUACCGCAUACGCCCUGAGGGGGAAAGCGGGGGAUCGUAAGACCUCGCGUUAUUAGAGCGGCCGAUAUCUGAUUAGCUAGUUGGUGAGGUAAAGGCUCACCAAGGCGACGAUCAGUAGCUGGUCUGAGAGGACGACCAGCCACACUGGAACUGAGACACGGUCCAGACUCCUACGGGAGGCAGCAGUGGGGAAUUUUGGACAAUGGGCGCAAGCCUGAUCCAGCCAUUCCGCGUGAGUGAAGAAGGCCUUCGGGUUGUAAAGCUCUUUCGCAAGGGAAGAAACGAUCUGGACGAAUAAUCCAGGUUAAUGACGGUACCUUGAUAAGAAGCACCGGCUAACUACGUGCCGGCAGCCGCGGUAAUACGUAGGGUGCGAGCGUUAAUCGGAAUUACUGGGCGUAAAGCGUGCGCAGGCGGUUUUGUAAGUCAGAUGUGAAAUCCCCGGGCUCAACCUGGGAACUGCGUUUGAAACUACAAGGCUAGAGUAUGUCAGAGGGGGGUAGAAUUCCACGUGUAGCAGUGAAAUGCGUAGAGAUGUGGAGGAAUACCAAUGGCGAAGGCAGCCCCCUGGGAUAAUACUGACGCUCAUGUACGAAAGCGUGGGGAGCAAACAGGAUUAGAUACCCUGGUAGUCCACGCCCCUAACGAUGUCUACUAGUUGUUGGUGGAGUAAAAUCCAUAAGUAACGCAGCUAACGCGAGAAGUAAACCGCCUGGGGAAGUACGGGUCGCAAGAUUAAAAACUCAAAGGGAUUGACGGGGGCCCGCCACAACGGGUGGAUUAUGUGG
This 948-nucleotide ribosomal RNA is filed under the name uncultured bacterium. RNAcentral describes it as "bacterial SSU rRNA". It matches the Rfam family "Bacterial small subunit ribosomal RNA", at positions 8 to 944 of the family's 1533-position model. The record is from RNAcentral.